Molecule: ribosomal RNA, 500 nt
Filed under: uncultured bacterium
Lineage: Bacteria
Description: bacterial SSU rRNA
Rfam family: Bacterial small subunit ribosomal RNA
Source: RNAcentral
CAGUCCACGCCGUAAACGAUGAUAACUAGCUGUCCGAACCCACAGGGUUUGGGUGGCGCAGCUAACGCAUUAAGUUAUCCGCCUGGGGAGUACGGUCGCAAGAUUAAAACUCAAAGGAAUUGACGGGGGCCUGCACAAGCGGUGGAGCAUGUGGUUUAAUUCGACGCAACGCGCAGAACCUUACCAGCUUUUGACAUCCUGGUCGCGGAUUUGGGAGACCAUUUCCUUCAGUUCGGCUGGACCAGUGACAGGUGCUGCAUGGCUGUCGUCAGCUCGUGUCGUGAGAUGUUGGGUUAAGUCCCGCAACGAGCGCAACCCUCAUCCUUAGUUGCCAGCAUUUAGUUGGGCACUCUAAGGAAACUGCCGGUGAUAAGCCGGAGGAAGGUGGGGAUGACGUCAAGUCCUCAUGGCCCUUACAAGCUGGGCUACACACGUGCUACAAUAGUAGGUACAGAGAGCAGCCACUUGGCGACAAGGAGCGAAUCUAUAAAACCUAUCAC